Cryptomeria japonica (Japanese cedar) is the source of this 1326-nucleotide RNA transcript. It is a transcript of the gene named F-box protein At3g58530, with no coding region annotated. The record is from RefSeq and is a predicted model, not a curated record. Lineage: Eukaryota; Viridiplantae; Streptophyta; Pinopsida; Cupressales; Cupressaceae. The transcript has 11 exons.
CAUUAGAUCAGAUUCCUUGGUUAUAGAAUACUGAAGAUAUUGUAAUUUGCCAAUGGCUUUCUGCAGUUGAGAUACAAGAACGUGGAGGAGAUAAACCUUGAAUUUGCUCAAGAUGUUGAAGACAAGCAUCUUCUUUUUCUCAAGGGCAUGUCUUUCCAGGAUUUGAAGCAUUUUAAUUUAAAUGGCUGCCAAAAAUUCACUGAUAAUGGAGUGGAGGCCAUUGCUCUUGCAAGUCCCAAACUGAAGUAUUUGUCUAUCUAUUGGAAUGUAAGGAUCACUGAUCAGAGUAUCAAGCACUUGGUGAAGAACUGCAAUGAUAUAGUCUCACUGAACUUGAGUGGAUGUAAGAAUAUUACAGACCAAAGUUUGUAUCUCCUCGCAAAUCAUUACAAGGAAAUAAAGCAUUUGAAUUUGACCAGGUGUGUGAAGCUGACUGAUGAUGGCUUGAUGCAGCUGUUAGACAAUUGUCGAAGCAUUGAGGAUCUGAACCUCUAUGCUGAUUCAAGUUUUACUGACAAAUCUUAUGAAAAGAUGUCAAAUCUUAGUGAAUUGAGGAUCUUGGAUCUGUGCGGUGCUCAGUACUUGUCCGAUCAAGGUCUUCUAUCAAUAGCCAAAUGCAGGAAGCUGGUAUCACUAAAUUUAACAUGGUGUGUCUGUGUUACUGAUGUUGGUGUCAAAUCAAUUGCUCGGAAUUGCCCAUUCCUAGAGUUUCUUAGCUUGUUUGGAAUUUUGGGAGUAAGUGAUUCAAGCCUGGAAACUUUUUCCAAGUUCUGUUCAGAUAAAUUGACAACAUUGGAUGUCAAUGGUUGCAUUAACAUAAAGAGGCGAUCAAAAAGUGAACUUUUGGAGCUUUUUCCCAAGCUUACUUGUUUCAAAGUACAUAGCUAAUCAUUAUCAAGCAUUGCUCUUAGAGAUGCCCUCUUAAUACAAGUGCUUUGCAAAGGAAGAGAAUGUUUUUAUAGCCUAUAGAUCCAUUUGGUGGAAUUUCGAAAGAAAAAAUAAGGUGCUUGCUACCCACUGAAGGGUGUUUUGCUAGGUAGUGGGCUUCGAAAAGUAUUAAAGAUUGUAAAGAUAUUUUUCAGAAUGGGUCAUUGAAAGAGUGAGUUUUGUUGAAAAAUGAAUUUGGCAGAAAAAAAUACUAAAAUAAGAACAUUCUUUGUUUUGAAAAGGGCUGUACAUGGUGUGAAUUUUCGCUGUAAAAUUCGACAUUGAGAUUCUGAGUAAUAUUUCAUGGAAGGAUGGUACUGUUUUUGACAAAAUGACUGUUAAAAAGAUGUAUGGAAUGCUAGCUGACUAACAAACUUAAUGAUAAUUCGAAUCUCGUGG